Long non-coding RNA from Eutrema salsugineum, 447 nucleotides. RefSeq lists it as uncharacterized. NCBI's taxonomy places the organism in Eukaryota, Viridiplantae, Streptophyta, Magnoliopsida, Brassicales, Brassicaceae. The transcript is spliced from 3 exons. The record is from RefSeq and is a predicted model, not a curated record.
GCCCAGGAAAACAGUUCUUAUUUUGAGGAUAUCAUAAUAUAAUCUGUUGGAAUCUGAUAUUUUAUUUUAUUUACGGAGGAUAUCAAAAUUUGUUCAGGUAAACACCAAAAUCCGGCUGGAGCUCCAGAAGUGGAGCUUGACAUCGAUGUUCAGACUGAUGUUACUUUGUGGAGACUGAAGGUGUUUGUGCACGAAGCGUUAAAAGCAGCUAACAAGAGCUCUGGUGGAACAAACGCGCAGAACAACAACAAUAAUGGAGAGAUCAACAAGAACGAUGCGAAAAGACGGAGAGAAAUCUCUGAUGCAAUCAAUAAAGCUUUUAAUUAAAAGAGCUAAGAAAGCUUGAAUCUCUUUUCUUUCCUCUGCAUCUCUCUGUUUAUUGAUCAACAAGGAACAAAUGAAUUUGGUGAACACCAAUCUAAAUUAGAGACACCUUCCAGUUCCAUU